This 1001-nucleotide ribosomal RNA is filed under the name Sirenicapillaria stauglerae BLCC-M121. RNAcentral's name for it is "bacterial SSU rRNA". It matches the Rfam family "Bacterial small subunit ribosomal RNA", at positions 418 to 1435 of the family's 1533-position model. RNAcentral also lists the same sequence under 1 other name. The record is from RNAcentral. Lineage: Bacteria; Bacillati; Cyanobacteriota; Cyanophyceae; Oscillatoriales; Sirenicapillariaceae.
UUGGGUUGUAAACCCCUUUUCUCAGGGAAGAGAAAGUGACGGUACCUGAGGAAUCAGCCUCGGCUAACUUCGUGCCAGCAGCCGCGGUAAUACGGAGGAGGCAAGCGUUAUCCGGAAUGAUUGGGCGUAAAGCGUCUGUAGGUGGCUAUUCAAGUCUGCUGUCAAAGCCUGAGGCUCAACCUCAGAUCGGCAGUGGAAACUGGGUAGCUUGAGUGCGGUAGGGGCAGAGGGAAUUCCCGGUGUAGCGGUGAAAUGCGUAGAGAUCGGGAAGAACACCGGUGGCGAAAGCGCUCUGCUGGGCCGCAACUGACACUGAGGGACGAAAGCUAGGGGAGCGAAUGGGAUUAGAUACCCCAGUAGUCCUAGCCGUAAACGAUGGAAACUAGGUGUUGCCUGUAUCGACCCGGGCAGUGCCGUAGCUAACGCGUUAAGUUUCCCGCCUGGGGAGUACGCACGCAAGUGUGAAACUCAAAGGAAUUGACGGGGGCCCGCACAAGCGGUGGAGUAUGUGGUUUAAUUCGAUGCAACGCGAAGAACCUUACCAGGGCUUGACAUGUCCGGAAGCCUGGGGAAACCCGGGUGUGCCUUCGGGAACCGGAACACAGGUGGUGCAUGGCUGUCGUCAGCUCGUGUCGUGAGAUGUUGGGUUAAGUCCCGCAACGAGCGCAACCCUCGUUCUUAGUUGCCAGCAUUAAGUUGGGCACUCUAGGGAGACUGCCGGUGACAAACCGGAGGAAGGUGGGGAUGACGUCAAGUCAUCAUGCCCCUUACGUCCUGGGCUACACACGUACUACAAUGGGGAGGACAGAGGGCAGCCACUUCGCGAGAAGGAGCUAAUCCCGAAAACCUUUCCUCAGUUCAGAUUGCAGGCUGCAACUCGCCUGCAUGAAGGAGGAAUCGCUAGUAAUCGCAGGUCAGCAUAUUGCGGUGAAUCCGUUCCCGGGCCUUGUACACACCGCCCGUCACACCAUGGAAGUUAGCCCGGCCNGAAGUCAUUACUC